RNAcentral lists this transfer RNA (125 nucleotides) under Felis catus (domestic cat). It matches the Rfam family "tRNA". Rfam says of the family: Transfer RNA (tRNA) molecules are approximately 80 nucleotides in length. RNAcentral also lists the same sequence under 2 other names. The record is from Rfam by way of RNAcentral. Lineage: Eukaryota; Metazoa; Chordata; Mammalia; Carnivora; Felidae.
GCCUGGGUUGCUUAGUCGGUUAAGCAUCUGACUUUGGCUCAGGUCAUGACCUUGUGGUCUGAAGCAUCCGACUUUGGCUCAGGUCAUGACCUUUUGGUCCGUGAGUUCAAGCCCCACCUUGAGCU